UUGUUGCGGUUGAAAAGCUCGUAGUUGGACUUCUGGCGUCCGGUUUCGGUCCGCCUCGAGCGAGCACUGAUCCCGGUCGUCGUUUUUGUCGACGAGGUUCGUCGGACUUCACUGGCUGGCGUUCUCCAGUCGACAGGGUUACUUUGAGGAAAUCAGAGUGCUCAAGGCAAGCGCACGCUCGUGACUUCACUAGCAUGGAAUAACACAGAUGGGCUCUUUUUCGCAACGUUGGUCUGCGUCAAUUGAGCAACGAUCGAUAGAGACGGUCGGGGGCAUUCGUAUUGCGCAGUUAGAGGUGAAAUUCUCCGAUCUGCGCAAGACGCACUAAUGCGAAAGCAGUUGCCAAGGACGUCCUCUUAUGAUCAAGAGCGAAAGUCGGGGGAUCAAAGAUGAUUAGAUACCGUCGUAGUCCCGACCAUAAAUGAUGCCGACUGAGCGUCGGCGACUCGGCCUUCGGCCGUACGUCGGCGCUCUUGAGAGAAAUUAAAGUCUUUGGGCUCCGGGGGUAGUAUGGUCGCAAGUCUGAAACUUGAAGGAAUUGACGGAAGGGCACCACAAGGCGUGGAUGUUGCGGCUUAAUUUGACUCAACACGGGAAAGCUUACUAGGUUUGGACACUUGAAUGAGGGACAUAUUGAAGCUCUUACCUUUUUUUGUGGAUGGUGGUGCAUGGUCGUUCUCASCCCGUGGGUUGACCUGUCAGGUUUACUCCGGUAACGCGCGAGACCUCGGUUUGCUAAAUAGACGCGGCUGUCUCGGCACCCGCGCUCUUCUUAGAGAGAGUCUCGACGAGAGUCGAGGGAAGUCGAGGCAAUAACAGAUCUGUGAUGCCCUUAGUUAUCCUAGGUCGCACGCGCCAAACAAUGUCGCUUACAACGAGUUCCUAGGCCGACAGGCGUUGGGCAAUCUUGCAGAGAGCUACGUGACUGGGCUAGACUCUUGUAAUUGUUGGUCUUCAACGAGGAAUGCCUAGUAAUCGCAGGUCAUCAUCCUGCGAUGAUUAGGUCCCUGCCCUUUGUACACACCGCCCGUCGCUCCAUCCGUGGCAUGCGCCGGUGAAGAGGGGGAGGCAGCG
This 1074-nucleotide ribosomal RNA is filed under the name Rhipilia nigrescens. RNAcentral's name for it is "SSU rRNA". It matches the Rfam family "Eukaryotic small subunit ribosomal RNA", at positions 612 to 1740 of the family's 1831-position model. Lineage: Eukaryota; Viridiplantae; Chlorophyta; Ulvophyceae; Bryopsidales; Halimedaceae. The record is from RNAcentral.